GACGAACGCUGGCGGCGUGCUUAACACAUGCAAGUCGAACGGAAAGGCCCUGCUUUUGUGGGGUGCUCGAGUGGCGAACGGGUGAGUAACACGUGAGUAACCUGCCCUUGACUUUGGGAUAACUUCAGGAAACUGGGGCUAAUACCGGAUAGGAGCUCCUGCUGCAUGGUGGGGGUUGGAAAGUUUCGGCGGUUGGGGAUGGACUCGCGGCUUAUCAGCUUGUUGGUGGGGUAGUGGCUUACCAAGGCUUUGACGGGUAGCCGGCCUGAGAGGGUGACCGGCCACAUUGGGAAUGAGAUACGGCCCAGACUCCUACGGGAGGCAGCAGUGGGGAAUAUUGCACAAUGGGCGGAAGACUGAUGCAGCAACGCCGCGUGCGGGAUGACGGCCUUCGGGUUGUAAACCGCUUUCGCCUGUGACGAAGCGUGAGUGACGGUAAUGGGUAAAGAAGCACCGGCUAACUACGUG
RNAcentral lists this ribosomal RNA (468 nucleotides) under uncultured bacterium. RNAcentral's name for it is "partial 16S ribosomal RNA". It matches the Rfam family "Bacterial small subunit ribosomal RNA", at positions 28 to 507 of the family's 1533-position model. The record is from RNAcentral.